Molecule: long non-coding RNA, 2543 nt
Organism: Apteryx haastii (Great spotted kiwi)
Lineage: Eukaryota; Metazoa; Chordata; Aves; Apterygiformes; Apterygidae
Source: Ensembl
CCACGCUGCUGGAGCAGGCCUGGCACCGCCGGCAGAGGCGGCUGGACGUGCUCUUUGACGGCCGGCCCUUCGCCAUCGACCUGGAGCGCAUGGAGGAGUACGACGUCGGUGCUGCCUGCACCCUGGCCAUCUCCCGCAGCGAGCCGCCGACGGACAGCGCCCGGCGCGGCCUUCUCGGGGCGGAGGAGGUGGACCUGGACGAGGAGGUGAAGCUGAUGCCGCUGGCGGAGGACUCGGAGGAGUUCUGCGAGGCCGUGCGCCACUUCUACGCCACCCUGGAGGACUUCCACAGCAAGAUCCGCGUGGUGAAGGUGGAGAAGCUGAUCCACCCGCUGCUGUACAAGCAGUACCAGCUGAAGAAGGCCUGCAUGGAGAAGACGUGCAGCACCCGCAACGUGGAGCAGGUCCUCUUCCAUGGCACCACGGAGCAGUCCAGCCGCGAGAUCUGCCUGCACGGCUUCAACCGCAGCUUCUGCGGCAAGAACGCCACUCUCUACGGGCUCGGCGUGUACUUCGCGGUGAACGCCGUGCUGUCGGUGCAGGACAAGUACUCGCCCUGCAGCGCCGAUGGCAGCAAGUACAUCUUCAUGGCCAAGACCCUGACCGGCGACUACGCGGCCGGCAGGAAGGACAUGCGGGCGCCGCCGCUCAAGGAGGCGUCCGAGGCGCCGCUGCGGUACGACAGCGUCGUGGACAACCCCAGGAAGCCGGGCAUCUUCGUCAUCUUCAACGACACCCAGGCCUACCCGCAGUACCUCAUCACCUGCCAGCGCGUCAAGCCGCCGGYCUGAGCCAGGGCCGGCCGUCUGCAGGCUCACUGUGCGCGCCGGGGCUCUCCUGGCUCCACCGUGCCAGCAUCCAGCUGCGCCUGUCCCGCCGUGAUGGGCAGCCCGGUGUUGCACCGGGAUGGGCUCGGUGCACGGAGGGGACCCUGCGCCCCUUCCCUGCAGGGUGCUUCUGCUGCAGCCCCUCACCCCGGCGUCAAGCCUCUGCGUGCGGCACGGCGGUGGGGGGACCAAGGGUCGCAAGUGCAAUAGAAACAAAGUUUGGAAUAAAGGGUUUGAGUGGCUGCCGGUGUCCGGAGGUGAGCGAGGGGCAGCCCGGGGGGUGCGGGCGAUGCCGAGGGGGACCCUCGGCUGCCUUCGCUUUCUGGGGCUGGGUGGAAUCGUUGCUCCUGCRGGCUGGGCUCUGCCGGGGGGUUUCUCCCCUGCUGGGCUCCGGCUCCUCGCUCCCGGGUUACCUGCUGGGGCCGUCUCCAGAGGCGCCUUCUCGUGGGGCCAGACCUCGUCCCCCCCCGGGGGCUCGCUGCCUUCCGCUCCCCGUGCGAGGUCCCACCCUGGGGAGCUGGGUGCAGGUGCAGGUGCUGCYGGCACCCGGCCCUCACCUGCAGCCUCUCCAUGAGGCUGGGGCCGACAGCCAGCUUUUCUGCAGGAGAUGUGCUGUUCUUGACGAGUCGUGUCGCCAGGUCAAGGAGUUACGGGAGGAGGUAAGCAGGCUGCGUAGCAUCCGAGAAGACGUUCGAGAGAUGGGUAGGCUAUUCUGAGAGACCCUACAGCUUCAAAAGUCUCAACCCCUCAUAGCAGUGGAGAUGCGGGUGGGCUCUGUGCCAUGAGGAACAGUAAGUCAUAACUCUGUAGAAGAUGAAGGCUGGAAAUUGGUUGCUCCUCGUAUGAGGAGAAAGGCUCUUGCUCCUGCUGAAGACUUGCAGUUGAUGAACCUCCRAGCUGAGGGCACUGACCUUGCAGCAUGGCUCCAGGUGAAGCAACUGAGCCGACGGACCCUGUGCCAUGCAGGAACACCUGGAAGAAGCGGAGAGUGAUUGUUGUGGGUGACUCCCYGCUGCAGGGGACAGAGGCGCCCGUCUGCCGACCUGACCUCUUGUCUAGAGAGGUUUGUUGCCUGCUGGGGGCUCGAAUCUGAGAUAUCGUGGAAAGACUGCCAAGACUUGUCCACCCGUCCAACUAUUACCCCCAGCUGCUCUUCCACGAAAAAAGAACAAACAAAAAAAAACCCUCUGGGAUCUACAGGCCAGUCAGCCUCACCUCGAUCCCUGGAAAGGUGAUGGAACAGCUCAUCCUGGACACCAUCUCCAAGCAUGUGAAGGAUAAGAAGGUGAUCGGGAGUAGUCAGCAUGGAUUCACAGAGGGGAAAUCAUGCUUAACCAAUCUGAUAGCCUUCUCUGAUGGAAUGAGUGGCUGGGUAGAUGAGGGGAGAGCAGUGGAUGUUGUCUCCCUUGACUUCAGCAAGGCUUUCGACACUGUCUCCCAUAGCAUCCUCAUAACAUCCUCCCAUAACAUCCUCAGGAAGUGUGGGCUAGAUGAGUGGACAGUGAGGUGGCUAGAGAAGUGGCUGAAUGGCAGAGCUCAGAGGGUUGUGAUCAGCGGUGCAGUCUAGCUGGAGGCCUGUAGCUAGCGGUGUCCCCCAGGGGUCAGUACUGGGUGCAGUCUUGUUCCACUUCUUCAUCAGUGACCUGGAUGAAGGGACAGAGUGCACCCUCAGCCAGUUUGCUGAUAAUACCAAGCUGGGAGGAGUGGCUGAUACCC